Long non-coding RNA from Culex quinquefasciatus (southern house mosquito), 606 nucleotides. RefSeq lists it as uncharacterized. The record is from RefSeq and is a predicted model, not a curated record. The transcript has 3 exons. Lineage: Eukaryota; Metazoa; Arthropoda; Insecta; Diptera; Culicidae.
ACAGAUUUUGGGACUUCUUUUACCAUUCGAUUCCGGGACCAAACUCAACAGAGGCUCUCGAAUCGAAAGCAGGUUCGGCCGACGUCGAGGCGUGGCCUCCAGGACAAAAGACAGCUGGCAAGGUGCUAAACGCGUUCCCAGUUGGUUGGACCGUUCUGUCGAGUGACGGAUCCGGAAUGUUGACGGGAGUUCUAAUUUUUCUGCAACUUGGGAACUAUUUCGAUCGUGGAUUGCGUAUGGUCCACGUGCUGCCGGGGGUUCUAGUCCGGCCACAAUUUACAAGAAGGAGGAACACCACCGCACUCGGGUCAGCUGAUGACCAAGGGUACACACUCCCAGCUCAGUUUGAUGGCAGGUGCUAAGGUGAUUCUAUAUUGGCCCGACGGCAGUCCGAUUUGUCGUGGUUGGAUACAGAAAGUGCGCGAAAAGGUGUAAUGGAGUCUCGUAGUUCCUGUGAAAGUUCGAUCCAGCAAGAGGUCGAAAUCGGCCGGAGUCUACGUCCGAGUACAAAUUUAACGACGACGUGCAGGGUGUCCGACGAAGUGGCUGCGGUGAAAGCGGAAGACAUUUCUGGAGUUUUUUUUUAAAAAAAAGGUCCAAUAAAUC